This 724-nucleotide ribosomal RNA is filed under the name Chaetoceros socialis. RNAcentral's name for it is "LSU rRNA". It matches the Rfam family "Eukaryotic large subunit ribosomal RNA", at positions 80 to 822 of the family's 3401-position model. The record is from RNAcentral. Lineage: Eukaryota; Bacillariophyta; Thalassiosirophyceae; Chaetocerotales; Chaetocerotaceae.
UCAGUACGGCGAGUGAAGCGGGAAGAGCUCAUUCUGUGAAUCUGUAUGCUCUUUUGGUAUACCGAGUUGUAGAAUAUAGAAGCACAUCAGUGCGAAUUCCGGUCUAAGUCUCUUGGAAAAGAGCAGCUAAGAGGGUGAGACUCCCGUUCUUGGCUGGAAUUCAAACUUUAGCAUGUGGUUUCGACGAGUCGAGUUGCUUGGGAUUGCAGCUCAAAGUUGGUGGUAAAUUCCAUCUAAAGCUAAAUAUCGGUGGGAGACCGAUAGCGUACAAGUACCGUGAGGGAAAGAUGCAAAGAACUUUGAAAAAAGAGUUAAAGAGUACCUGAAAUUGCUGAAAUGGAAGCGAAGGAAACCAGUGCCGUUCUGUAUCAUUCUUCCGUCCUUGCUUGCGAGGGUGGCGCUGUGAUGCAGGAUAGGCCAGCGUGGGUUUGAGCCGAAGGAAGCAGCUCUUCAGGAGGCAGCGCAAUUUCUGUGCGAUUACUGUUGAGCUUUGCUUCGGCUUGGACUGAGGCUAGUCACUUGUGCUCGUGACGCUGGCGAAAUGGUUUUCUUUACCCCGUCUUGAAACACGGACCAAGGAGUCUAACAUAUGUGCGAGUAUAUGAGUGACAAACUCACAUGCGAAAUGAAAGUAACAGUGGUUGGAUCUUCUGGGCACAAUCCGCCGGCCACAAUCCUUCGGGAGAAAGGUCUGAGUGUGAGCAUACAUGUUGGGACCCGAAAG